RNAcentral lists this transfer RNA (74 nucleotides) under Talaromyces islandicus. RNAcentral's name for it is "tRNA-Met". It matches the Rfam family "tRNA". Rfam says of the family: Transfer RNA (tRNA) molecules are approximately 80 nucleotides in length. The record is from RNAcentral. Lineage: Eukaryota; Fungi; Ascomycota; Eurotiomycetes; Eurotiales; Trichocomaceae.
GUCUCCAUGGCUCAGCUGGUUAGAGCGCCGGUCUCAUAAUCCGGAGAUCGCGAGUUCGAACCUCGCUGGGGACA